This 496-nucleotide ribosomal RNA is filed under the name uncultured bacterium. Its description in RNAcentral is "partial 16S ribosomal RNA". It matches the Rfam family "Bacterial small subunit ribosomal RNA", at positions 29 to 507 of the family's 1533-position model. The record is from RNAcentral.
AUGCACGCUGGCGGCGUGCCUAAUACAUGCAAGUCGAGCGAACAGACGAGGAGCUUGCUCCUCUGACGUUAGCGGCGGACGGGUGAGUAACACGUGGAUAACCUACCUAUAAGCCUGGGAUAACUUCGGGAAACCGGAGCUAAUACCGGAAAAUAAAUUAAACCGCAUGGUUCAAUAGUGAAAGAGGGUUUUGCUUUCACUUAUAGAUGGAUCCGCGCCGCAUUAGCUAGUUGGUAAGGUAACGGCUUACCAAGGCGACGAUGCGUAGCCGACCUGAGAGGGUGAUCGGCCACACUGGAACUGAGACACGGUCCAGACUCCUACGGGAGGCAGCAGUAGGGAAUCUUCCGCAAUGGGCGAAAGCCUGACGGAGCAACGCCGCGUGAGUGAUGAAGGUCUUCGGAUCGUAAAACUCUGUUAUUAGGGAAGAACAAAUGUGUAAGUAACUAUGCACGUCUUGACGGUACCUAAUCAGAAAGCCACGGCUAACUACGUG